This 698-nucleotide long non-coding RNA is filed under the name Gallus gallus (chicken). Lineage: Eukaryota; Metazoa; Chordata; Aves; Galliformes; Phasianidae. The record is from RNAcentral.
ACUGCGCUGGUGGUUCAGCACUUCUGCAUGAGCACAAUUAAUUACAUAGGUUUUCAACAGUCACAAAGGAGGAAAAAUAUUGGUGAGAGGAAUACUUAAAAACAAAAGUGGUGAGAAUUAUUGCUCUUUGGAAUAAACUUUCUUGGGAAGAAGUGAAUUUUCCAUAUCUUGAUGUUCUCAGUUGAAGACAGAAUGCCUUCCUGGAGAAUGGACUCCAGCUGACCACAAAUUCUAUGUCCCGCUGCAGAGAGAACUGUCUGAAGAAAGUUGUGGCCUUGAAUGAUCACCGGUGUCUAUGUUCAAUUGAGUGUGACUAGAUGAAGCAGGAAUUCAAACUGAGUCUCCUCAGCAAACUGGCUGCUGAUUGAGAUGUAGCACAAUGAGAACAAAAUGGUUCCUGGAGGACAAAUUUCUAUUGAAAAGGUGAGAAAAUUAUCAGGCGCAGUCAUUCCUUCAGCUUCACUCCCAUCUGAGGAACUCGGGAGAGCCUAUUUGCCAUGAGUGAUGGCUGCAGUGACAGCCUUCCAACCAAAAUAUUAUCAGUGCUUUUGUAAAUGAACUUAGGAUAAUUUCUGUAAAAAGUCUGAGCAUUCAAAUUCUUAUUUGAAUACAGAUAAGUUCGUAUAAGUGUUUAUUGGAUUUUAUCUACCUCUCUUGCUUUGUAAUGAGAACACUGUAACUGUAUAACUGUCUGCCCC